This 492-nucleotide ribosomal RNA is filed under the name uncultured bacterium. RNAcentral describes it as "partial 16S ribosomal RNA". It matches the Rfam family "Bacterial small subunit ribosomal RNA", at positions 29 to 507 of the family's 1533-position model. The record is from RNAcentral.
AGUGAACGCUGGCGGUAGGCCUAACACAUGCAAGUCGAACGGCAGCACAGUAAGAGCUUGCUCUUACGGGUGGCGAGUGGCGGACGGGUGAGGAAUACAUCGGAACCUACUUUUUCGUGGGGGAUAACGUAGGGAAACUUACGCUAAUACCGCAUACGACCUACGGGUGAAAGCAGGGGAUCUUCGGACCUUGCGCGAUUGAAUGAGCCGAUGUCGGAUUAGCUAGUUGGCGGGGUAAAGGCCCACCAAGGCGACGAUCCGUAGCUGGUCUGAGAGGAUGAUCGGCCACACUGGAGCUGGGACACGGUCCAGACUCCUACGGGAGGCAGCAGUGGGGAAUAUUGGACAAUGGGCGCGAGCCUGAUCCAGCCAUACCGCGUGGGUGAAGAAGGCCUUCGGGUUGUAAAGCCCUUUUGUUGGGAAAGAAAAGCAGCAGGUUAAUACCCCGCUGUUCUGACGGUACCCAAAGAAUAAGCACCGGCUAACUUCGUG